AAUACGGAAGGUGCAAGCGUUAAUCGGAAUUACUGGGCGUAAAGCGCGCGUAGGUGGUUUGUUAAGUUGGAUGUGAAAGCCCUGGGCUCAACCUAGGAACUGCAUCCAAAACUAACUCACUAGAGUACGAUAGAGGGAGGUAGAAUUCAUAGUGUAGCGGUGGAAUGCGUAGAUAUUAUGAAGAAUACCAGUGGCGAAGGCGGCCUCCUGGAUCUGUACUGACACUGAGGUGCGAAAGCGUGGGUAGCGAACAGGAUUAGAUACCCUGGUAGUCCACGCCGUAAACGAUGACAACUAGCUGUUGGGAGACAAUGUCUUUCAGUGGCGCAGCUAACGUUUUAAGUUGUCCGCCUGGGGAGUACGGCCGCAAGGCUAAAACUCAAAUGAAUUGACGGGGACCCGCACAAGCGGUGGAGCAUGUGGUUUAAUUCGAUGCAACGCGAAAAACCUUACCUACUCUUGACAUACUUGGAAGCUCUUGUAAUGAGAGUGUGCCUUUUGGAACCAAGAUACAGGUGCUGCAUGGCUGUCGUCAGCUCGUGUCGUGAGAUGUUCCGUUAAGUCGGAUAACGAGCGCAACCCUUACCCUUAUUUGCCAGCGAUUCGGUCGGGAACUAUAAGGGGACUGCCGGUGAUAAACCGGAGGAAGGUGAGGACGACGUCAAGUCAUCAUGGCCCUUACGAGUAGGGCUACACACGUGCUACAAUGGGGAAUACAGACGGACGCUAAGCCGCGAGGUGGUGCUAAUCCUAGAAAGUUUCUCGUAGUCCGGAUUGGAGUCUGCAACUCGACUCCAUGAAGUCGGAAUCGCUAGUAAUCGCGGAUCAGCAUGCCGCGGUGAAUACGUUCUCGGGUCUUGUACACACCGCCCGUCACACCAUGGAAGUGGAUUGCACCAGAAGUAGAUAGUCUAACCUUCGGGAGGGCGUUUACCACGGUGUGCUUCAUGACUGG
RNAcentral lists this ribosomal RNA (955 nucleotides) under uncultured bacterium. RNAcentral's name for it is "bacterial SSU rRNA". It matches the Rfam family "Bacterial small subunit ribosomal RNA", at positions 522 to 1478 of the family's 1533-position model. The record is from RNAcentral.